RNAcentral lists this ribosomal RNA (229 nucleotides) under uncultured bacterium. RNAcentral describes it as "partial 16S ribosomal RNA". It matches the Rfam family "Bacterial small subunit ribosomal RNA", at positions 118 to 347 of the family's 1533-position model. The record is from RNAcentral.
UGAGCAAUCUGCCCUUCACUUCGGGAUAACUCCGGGAAACCGGUGCUAAUACCGAAUACGACCACCGAUGGCAUCGUCUGGUGGUGGAAAGUUCCGGCGGUGAAGGAUGAGCUCGCGGCCUAUCAGCUUGUUGGUGAGGUAAUGGCUCACCAAGGCGGCGACGGGUAACUGGUCUGAGAGGAUGAUCAGCCACAUUGGGACUGAGACACGGCCCAGACUCCGUAGGGAG